RNAcentral lists this long non-coding RNA (3857 nucleotides) under Salmo salar (Atlantic salmon). RNAcentral describes it as "lncRNA (ENSSSAG00000098517.1)". The record is from RNAcentral. Lineage: Eukaryota; Metazoa; Chordata; Actinopteri; Salmoniformes; Salmonidae.
GGACCGCCGUCCGAAGGCUCCGGGCUGCGGACCGCCGUCCGAAGGCUCCGGGCUGCGGACCGCCGUCCGAAGGCUCCGGGCUGCGGACCGCCGCCCGAAGGCUCCGGGCUGCGGACCGCCGCCGAAGGCUCCGGGCUGCGGACCGCCGCCGAAGGCUCCGGGCUGGGGAGCGUUGCCGGAGGCUCCGGGCUGGGGAGUGUCGCCGGAGGCUGGGGAACGGGCUGGGGAAUGUCGCCGGAGGCUCCGGGCUGGGGAGCGUCGCCGGAGGCUCCGGACUGGAGAGUGUCGCUGGAGGUUCCGGGCUGAGAUCCGUCUCAAUAGGUUCCGGACUGUAGGCCGUCUCAGUAGGUUCCGGACUGUAGACCGUCUCAGUAGGUUCCGGACUGUAGGCCGUCUCAGUAGGUUCCGGACUAAAAAACGUCACCGGAAGCUCUGGACGGGGAACUGUCGCCGGAAGCUCUGGACGGGGAACUGUCGCCGGAAGCUCUGGACGGGGAACUGUCGCCGGAAGCUCUGGACGGGGAACUGUCGCCGGAAGCUCUGGAUGGGGAACUGUCGCCGGAAGCUCUGGACUGGAAAUGUGCACUGGAAUCCUGAUGCAUGGUACUGGCAUGGGUGGCGCCAGACUGGUAACCCCCCACCUCAGGACAAGUGCAGGGAGCAGGAACAGGACACUCCGGACUGGGCAUGCGCACUGGAGGUCUGAUGCGGGGAACUGGCCUAGGUGGCGCCAGAUUGGUAACACGCACCUCAGGGCGAGUUCGGGAAGGAAGCACAGGGUGUACCGGACUAUGGAGGCGAACUGGAGACCUGAACAUAGAAAUACAAAACAUAGACAAACACCCCCGUCACGCCCUGACCUACUCUACCAUAGAAAAUAACAACUUACUAUGGUCAGGACGUGACACAUACCAUGCGAAUACACUACCAAGCAAUGCAAGCAGAUGUGGAAUUAACCCCAAAACAGCUGUGUGUCUUUUUGGAUCAAGAAUUGAUCCAGAAUACCAGUAGGCAUGAUCAGAUCCUCUUUCCUAUUCAGGCAUCAUAUAAUGCACAGCCACAUGCAUUGAAAACCUUAACAUGACAAUGUCAUUAUUUUUGUCACCAUCCAUCAAUGGUUGAAUUGCAUUAUGUUUCUUUGUACAAUGUCUAAGACACUGCAUCUCAGUGCAAGAGGUGGUCACUGCAGUACCUGGUGCGAAUCCAGGCUGCAUCACAUCCGGCCACGAUUGGGAGUCCCAUAGGGUGGCGCACAAUUGGCCCAACAUCGUCCGGGUUUGGCCGGGGUAGACCGUCAUUGUAAAUAAGAAUUUGUUCUUAACUGACUUGCCUAGUUAAAUAAAGGUUACACAUGCACUGAGCUUCCAUUGGCUGGAGGCAUUCAACACGCUAAAUGAAAAAUACCCAAAUAAAACGUAUGUGAAUUAUUAUUAUUUUUUUUAAAUGUUACAACAACCAGAUCUUCCUAACAUUUGCCAUCACUAAGUAAGCCUUACAUCCUGACUCUAUAUGGGCUACCAAAUAUAAACCUGGGCACUCAUGGGAGGGGUGGGACCACAUGCACUUCUAAGUAAUCAAGGCAAGAACAUUAUUGCUAUAUUGUAAUUAAAAUCAUUGACCCAUAAGAGAACACAUGACCAAAGCAAGGCAAGACCCAUAUAGAAUUAAAACAACAUUAUUCUUAAUGAGAAAUAUAAUCUAAUAAACAAAUGUUUGCAUAACCAAAGACAUAAAAACCAGCUCUAACAUUGUAUUUAGCGACCUAUAAAACGUUCAUAUUGGCAGUAAGGUCAUUGAGAAUAACAAUAGACAAUAGUUAUUGUUGGUAGUUUAGGGAUAAAUAUAUUGAAGGUUCAUGAAUGUUAAAGAUUUGUUCACUGUGGGGAUUUUGAAAGAGGUGGAUUAGAACCUCAAAGUAAUAGUGGUAAGAAAGAUCAUAAAUGUAGUUUCAGAUUCAGGUUUAGGGGGGUAAUAACUUUAUGGAAACCACUAUUCACACUAUGUGGAUUAUAAACAUGUACAGACAUAGGGAACUAUCACAUCAAGAAGGUGUAACAGUGAUGAAUGGCUAUUCAAUGUACAACAGUAGUCAUCUGUAGCAAGCAAUAGUUAUUAAAUAUGUUUACAUACAUCCAUGACUGAAUGGUUUCAUGAACUCAUUUAAAGGUUUUGUAAGUAAAUUGUAACAGUCCUCAUUCAGCAGUCUGAAUUAACCUAGAGUCACCAAAACAUCAAUGCUUAGAGAAGCUUGGAGAUUAUUCCACAAGUAAGGUGCAAAGAGCUGAUUUUCCUAACUCUGUACAGACCAAAGGAAUUUCCAGAGCUAGCAAUCCCUGAGACGGUGUAUGAUAACUCCGACUCGUACGUUUAAUGGUUAUUGUAGAAGUUAGUUACAGAGGGAGUUUACAGUAUGUCAAAGAGCUUUAUAAAGGCAAAGAGAGCAAUUCAUUGACCUACGUAACUAACUCAUCAAUAUGUUUUUUUUAAAGACAGCUGAACGUCUAUACAAAUACACCAUACUAGGUACACACACUUCAAUCAUUAGAAUCAUGUUUGUGCACUCUAGAAAACAACAUAUACUUCGUUUUACACAUUUUCAAUAAUAAUUUAAGGUCAAUAAAGGUUUUCUGCAAAAUAAUGAAAGCAUACUGUAGUUCAGAUAGAGCCUGAUCAGCAGGGUAGGCGAUAGAGUACACAACUGUAUCGUCUGUAUACAGGUGCAGGUUAAACAUUAUUAUUAUAUUUAUAUUUUUUGGACAAAACAAUAUUUCUAAUGUAUACAAUAUCGUUUUUUAUUUGACAUUCUGACAUAUAGCACAAUACCUGUCACGUCCUGACCAGUAAAAGGGGUUGUUUGUUAUUGUAGUGUGGUCAGGGCGUGGCAGGGGGUGUUUGUUUAGUGUGUUUCGGGGUUUUGGUUUAUGUUCUAUGUUUUCUAUUUCAAUGUGGGUUUUCUAGUUUUUCUAUAUCUAUGUUAGUUUUGGGAACGACCUCCAAUUAGAGACAGCUGGUUGUUGUUGCUUCUAAUUGGAGGCCAUAUUUAAGUGGGUUUAUUUUCUCUUGUGUUUGUGGGUGGUUGUUUCCGUGUAUAGUCUGAGCACCUUACAGGACUGUUUUCGUCGUUUGUUUUGUGUAAGUGGUUUGUUUGGUUUUUCUUCAAUAAAAGGAAGAUGAGCAUUCACAUACCCGCUGCGUUUUGGUCCACUCCAUACGACGAAUAUGACAAUACCUAGGUACUAAAAAAUGCAUAUGCAACAUUUGAACAGAAAUUUCCCCCUUGUGUUAUGAUGUAUAAGAUACAUUGGCUAUUUUAGUCAUCCUUUUUUUAUUAUUUACAUGUUUAUAAUCCAAAAGUGUGUUUUUAGAGGGGUGGGAAAUAUUGUUUAUGUUGUCAUGGAAAUUAUUCUAACCAAAGGAGAGAGACUUUUAGAUUUCUUCAAAACAACUGACCUUUAUUAGUUAAUUACUGCAGUAAUGGAGCCGUCGACAACCACCCCAGGAGGUGACCGUUGAGAAAAACAACGAGCAGAGUUGGGUUACAACCUUCAUAGACUAAGCACAUCCUUCUGAGCACGUGACACACAACAGAUGUGUAGAAUUUGUCAAAGGUGAGGUUUUGUAUGUGAGAAAGAAAUAACACCCCAGCCAGAUAAAAUUUGCUAUGAAGAUUGUUCUAAUUGUAUAGAAAUCAGGGUUUGGCCCCAAAGACAAGGUUCCACCCAUCAACUGUCCACACGAGACAUCUAAUCCCUGGUACCUCACAGAAACACCAACUCAUUCUAUGGAAUGCAGGCUGUAGGUUUUAUCACCGAGCCAUCAUAAAUCAAUUGCCAGCGCCAAGCCCCAGAGGCCCAACU